UUCCUGGUGGCUUAGUCAGUAAAGAAUCUGCCUGCAGUGCAGGAAACCCUGGUUCGAUCUCUGGGUUAGGAAG
RNAcentral lists this transfer RNA (73 nucleotides) under Bos taurus (domestic cattle). It matches the Rfam family "tRNA". Rfam says of the family: Transfer RNA (tRNA) molecules are approximately 80 nucleotides in length. Their secondary structure includes four short double-helical elements and three loops (D, anti-codon, and T loops). RNAcentral also lists the same sequence under 3 other names. The record is from Rfam by way of RNAcentral. Lineage: Eukaryota; Metazoa; Chordata; Mammalia; Artiodactyla; Bovidae.